RNAcentral lists this ribosomal RNA (326 nucleotides) under uncultured eukaryote. Its description in RNAcentral is "partial 18S ribosomal RNA". It matches the Rfam family "Eukaryotic small subunit ribosomal RNA", at positions 1470 to 1796 of the family's 1831-position model. The record is from RNAcentral.
CCCUUAGAUGUUCUGGGCCGCACGCGCGCUACACUGAUGCAUUCAACAAGCCUAGCCUUGACCGAGAGGUCCGGGUAAUCUUUGAAACUGCAUCGUGAUGGAGCUAGAUUAUUGCAAUUAUUAAUCUUCAACGAGGAAUGCCUAGUAAGCGUGAUUCAUCAAAUCGCGUUGAUUACGUCCCUGCCCUUUGUACACACCGCCCGUCGCUCCUACCGAUUGAAUGUGUUGGUGAGGAGCUCGGAUUGGCAGCAGUUGGUGGUUCGCCACCGGCUAUUGCUGAGAAGUCCUCCAAACCGCCCCAUUUAGAGGAAGGAGAAGUCGUAACA